GGCUCGUUGGUCUAGGGGUAUGAUUCUCGCUUUGGGUGCGAGAGAUCCUUGGUUUAAGUCCUGGAUGAGCUC
This 72-nucleotide transfer RNA is filed under the name Danio rerio (zebrafish). It matches the Rfam family "tRNA". Rfam says of the family: Transfer RNA (tRNA) molecules are approximately 80 nucleotides in length. Their secondary structure includes four short double-helical elements and three loops (D, anti-codon, and T loops). Further hydrogen bonds mediate the characteristic L-shaped molecular structure. tRNAs have two regions of fundamental functional importance: the anti-codon, which is responsible for specific mRNA codon recognition, and the 3' end, to which the tRNAs corresponding amino acid is attached (by aminoacyl-tRNA synthetases). tRNAs cope with the degeneracy of the genetic code in two manners: having more than one tRNA (with a specific anti-codon) for a particular amino acid; and 'wobble' base-pairing, i.e. permitting non-standard base-pairing at the 3rd anti-codon position. Lineage: Eukaryota; Metazoa; Chordata; Actinopteri; Cypriniformes; Danionidae. The record is from Rfam by way of RNAcentral.